This 6434-nucleotide long non-coding RNA is filed under the name Salmo salar (Atlantic salmon). RNAcentral describes it as "lncRNA (ENSSSAG00000107092.1)". The record is from RNAcentral. Lineage: Eukaryota; Metazoa; Chordata; Actinopteri; Salmoniformes; Salmonidae.
GUCCAUAACGAAUGUAGUUUUGUUCAAAAAAGCUCAUCAUUUAUGUCCAAAAAUCUCCGUCUUGUUAGCACAUGAUGUAAGCCAGCCGGACUUCUCGUCAUGAACGAGGGGAAAAAAUAUAUUUACGUUCGUUCAAACAUGUCAAACGUUGUAUAGCAUAAAUCAUUAGUGCCUUUUUUAACCAGAACAUGAAUAAUAUUCAAGGUGGACGAAUGCAUUCUCUUUUAUAACGUAUUGGAACGAGGGUACCCAACAUGAACUCGCGCGCCAGAGUCUAAUCGGCCAUCACCGUUCCAUGGCUCUUGUUCGGUCAGAUCUCACAGUAAAAGACUCAAAACACUUUGUAAAGGCUGGUGACAUCUAGUGGAAACAAUAGGAAGUGCCAAAACAGUAAUCAACCCCUCUGUGUUUCAAUGGCAUAGGCUUAAAGGUAAUUCAACACAUCAGGUAUCCACUUCCUGUCAGAAAAUGUCUCAGGGUUUUGCCUGCCAAAUGAGUUCUGUUAUACACAGACACCAUUCAAACAGUUUUAGAAACUUUAGGGUGUUUUCUAUCCAUAUAUAAUAAGUAUAUGCAUAUUCUAGUUACUGGGUAGGAUUAGUAACCAGAUUAAAUCGGGUACGUUUUUUUAUCCAGCCGUGAAAAUACUGCCCCCUAGCCCCAACAGGUUAAACAUGUCUGUAAAAUCACAAUGUGAACAUCGACCUAUCAAGUAAUUUUUCAUAAAUCAUUGGGUACAAUGCAAGAACAAAUGUGAGAGUAAUCUGAAGUGGUUGCAUUAAUUCAUGUUCACAUUUACAACAUAACAUGCAUGAGCAUUUCAUCACUAAGACUUUUUGGGAAUAAUGUCUGAAGGGUGAAAAUCCCAAAACAUUCUCUUUUGUGCAGAGUAUUAUUUAUACCACCUCCCCUGUAUUAUAUCUUGACUUUCUCUAUGCCACAACAUCUAAAAAGUAGAAAUGUCAUGUUUUUGGUCAUUUAAAAUGUACUGACUGGAUAAUCCCUGUCGUUUCUCCUGAUUUAACUUUUAUGUUCACUAAUUCUCUGUUUGAGAGAACGAGAGGUUUUACCUACAUAACACAGCCCACAUGGACAUUUAAUCAUGUAGGUAACAUGGGUGGUGGAGCACGUAAUAAUGUAAUUUAUAUGGAACUGUUUUCCUGUAUGUGGGUGGCAGAAAUAUUCACACUUCAUCAUAUUGUUGCACUGUGCGCAACCUCUGCAUUUAUAGCUACCAUUCGGAAGAGCGUGUAAAAGAGCCAGGAUCAUUUGCUUUAGUGGCUGGCAGUUGGCAUGGACCAAUUUGUCACGUAAAUUGCGACCUUUCCUAUAUACAAUAAGUGGUGGGUUCUUAAAUUCAGCUGGCAAAGCUGGGUCCAAUGAUAAAACACGCCAAUGGGUUUUGCUCAUGAUAGCUUGAACUGACAAUGACUUGGUGAUAAAAACCUAAAAGAUAGCAUUCCAUAGACAAGAUGUGGUGUGUGUGACCCGAGAUAGAGUCAGGAAGAGUUUUUAGAACAAUGCCUCAUUGUCUCAUCUUCCUGGCAUUGGGAAACUAAGCCGAGUUGGAAGUAAAACAACGUCCCGUGCAGAUAACCUGGAGAUGGACCAAGUACUGGAACUUCCACAACAGUUUUGGCGACGAGUGUCCGUGUAUAUGUGAUGAGAAAAGGAGUCAAUCGCAGGACACCGAACUGAGUAAAAAUUAAGUAAUUUACUCAACAUAAAAAUUCAGUAUACAAAAUCCAUGCAGGGAAAACAAGAACUACAAAACCAACGAACAAUACCAACAGUAAAACAAUAACGCACAAAACAUCAUGAUGACCAGAGGGUUAAAAUAGGGCAGUAAUCAUAACCAAAUGGGAACCAGGUGUGAACAAUCAAGACAUAACCAAUCGACAAAGAAACAUGGAUCGGUGGCAGCUAGAAAGCCGGUGACGAUGACCGCCGAACGCUGCCCGAACAAGGAGAGGCACCAACAUCGGCGGAAGUCGUGACAACGAGGAGGAUCUCUGCAACUUCACCUGUUGACCGCUCCUGAAGAUCUGGGUAAACUGUGCACAGGGGAUCCAAAAUUGGGAGCUCGGGGAAACCACACUCCAAAGGAGAAGCUGGACCCUCCUCAGAUCUGCAGGAAGCGGGCACGGAUGGAUAUCAGAUCUCGAACAUAGUGCUGAGAGAGGUGAGCUUGGACAAUCUAUCAAUAAGUGAUACAAAAAAAUAUAUAAAUAACAAAAGCCCCUGUCAAGGGUAUGCUCAGAGCAAGGUCUUCCUUAAGAGGGCCACAACUGAGGUAACUAGCAGGACUGAGUUGAGUUGAUAAGAGUGUUCUUAAGUGAGGUUUCCUUGGGCAUGAUUGAGAAUUAGCCUGUUGCGGGCAACCAAAAGUCCAGAUCCGUGGUACUGGGUUGAUCACAGUAGGACUGGUGAUGUUAAUGUGUAGAGCGAGAGACUAGAGCGCAGGUGACGCCUUACAAGGGCACCUGGCAUGGUGAAUUUCAAAUGAUAUGUAUGUAGUUGAUUAAAUGUUUUGUUGAUGAAGUAAACAAGUAUGCCCUGGGUCAGUAUUGUUAGUUGUUAUUGUUAUUCCUGGUUAGAUAAUAACCCGUUUUGGGACCACAAGUUAGGCAAUAUUUUGAUAAUGGUAUGGUUUUCCCUGCUCAUAUAGAGAGGGUUUACAAUCUAAAAACAGCGCUAACGAUUUAAUAAAAAAAUGUUUUUGACUGUCUCAUUCCCUAUGUUUGUGUUUUCUGUGAGUGUGUGAGUGAAGGAGCCGGAACCAUGGGAGCACACGGUAGCGAAGGACACGGAAUUCCAGAUCCCCCAAAGGAUGCCCUGAAGGUUAAGUGCUGCCUGUGGCUGUCGACCUUCUUUCCCCCGCCUCUGCCUGAUGCCCUAGCUCUGCACUCCACUACGCCUCUUCACCCAACUCUGUUCCUCCCCUCUCGUAUGAAUCUCCCCUAGCAGCAGCGGUGGACCAACUGCUCUCUGAACUGGCCAUGCAUCAACUCCAAAACCAACCAGAAAAGGGUGCUGCUGGAGGAGCCAGAGCAGAAUGUAGGAAGAGCAACAACCUCUUCUCACAAUAACCACCUCUAGCCAGCCCGUUGGAGGAUGAUGACGACAACAGUGAUACAUCCUCUCAGAACGGAGCAUCAGCUCCCUACUCUCUUCCCCUCCGCUUAAGAGCCAUCUGCAAAGGAAGAUAGACCCGCCGACACCCUCACCAUAUGAUCUAGCACCAGAUAUGUAUCAACAGUACCCUCUGAUUGCAUGUCCAAACCCUCAGCCAUGACCAGCUGCAGGCCACACUGAUUUGGCUGCCUGGCAACCAAUCAUAUACCCAGAGGUCAUGGAGACAUGAUGAAAUUAAAGACAUUGUUGAGGAUUUGCCUGACCCCAGCAAAGAUGCGGUAAAGUUUGCAGCAGAAAUGAGGGUUCUGUCAGGACAGCACCAGCCAUCUGCAGCUGAGAUAGCCCAUAUCUGUAAGAAGAAACUAGGGCUUAGGUGGGCUGAUGUAGAAGGGGACUUUGAUUAUAAUCAGCUCUGGGAUGGGAAUGGAACUGUAUCCCGUCAAGACUGACUGGACAUCCAUCAGAGAAUGCACCAUCAAGAAAGAUGAGAGCCUGGAAGCGUAUUGAAGGAGACUGGAAACCUGUUUCAGGCUGCAAAGCGGCAUCAGACCAAAUUACCUGGCAUAUGGAAAUCUGUUGUAGGACGCCCUGAUGAGGGGCCUGACACCAGACUUGGAGAAAGCGGUGAGAACCACCUGUAUCAGUUGGGAAACUGAACCCCUGUCCACUGUGGUACAACAUUGCAAACAUGCUGAGCGACAACAAUGUGCUCAGAAGGAAGAAAAUACAAAAGAAGAAAGAGUGAAGACUGAAAUUGCAUUCUACCAAGACCAGGUGCCUGCUGGAGUGGGAGGUGGUGGAGGUGGAAGAAAACCCAAACUUGGAAGUUGCUUCACCUAUGGCAAGCCAGGCCAUUUCGGUGCACAAUGCAAUCAAGCCCAGCAGCUGAUGGGAAGAGGCAGGGGCAGACCAAGAGGCAGAGGAGCCCCAAGGGGGGCCCCUCGAGGAGGAGGUCCACCAGGAGGACAAGGAUUGUGGUAUCCCCCUGCUCAACAGCCAUGGCAGCCGCCACCCAACCAAUGGCCAGGGCCACCCCCACAUGGGGGCCCUCCGCCACCGUGGGGACCACAAGGGAGCCCUCAAGGCAGAGGCCAAUCUGGGCAAGGGCAGAUGGGCCCGCCUGCACAGACGACCCUGUACAAUCCAGGACAAGAAAAGGAGGAAGAAUAUUGACAUGGAGAGACAGACACAGAUGAGGUAGAAUCGUCAGGGCAACCAGUGCAUUUGUUUUUAAAGAGCCAUACCCUUCCUCGAAUUGAGCCAACAGUAGAGGCUUGCGUCAAUGGGUGAAAGCAGCUUUGCCUCAGCCCCUGGUGGGAAUCCUACAUAAGCUUCAACCUGGUGACUGGGUUGUGGUCAAGGACCUGAGGAGGAAGCAUUGGACCCAGCAGAAGUGGAAUGGCCCAUUCCAGGUGUUGCUGAUAAACCCCACCACUGUUCGAGUGGCUGAGAGAUCGACAUGAGUACACUCCAGCCACUGCAGGAAGGUCCCAUAUGAUCCAGUUUCAGAUGUCCCGGAGGAUGGGUUUCCGCCAGCCAUGACCUAGUUGGCCGUGGGAGAAUCAGGAUGAAGUCAGAGGAAUCCUGGUUGUUGCAUUCUUUGCCAGCCUCUUCAUCUCAAUGACUGUUUGAACCCUGCAGAGAGGGGAAUAGGCGAAAGGGGAGGAUGGCCCAAAUAUCACUGCAGUCCCAAAGCUGGGACUUAAUAACAGCCACUCCAGCUCAAGCCAAUGGCAGGCUCAGGACAUGAGUCCAGUAAACAAUAGCCACACUGAGACCAGAAGAAGCAGGAGCUCGAUGCAUCCACUGGAUGAGCAUCACAGCCAGAAUCAUGAGGAAAACACUUGGUGGUCACUGCUUAAUUAUACAGUAAAAACUGAACUAAUGGUAGAAAACACCUCCUGUCAUGUAUGUAGUCUUUUUCCACGCUCAGCGAUCUCAACAUUCUUACAGUAUUCAGUAGAGGCCAGCAUUAACGACACUCUAUGUGCACUGGAAGUCAUCUUAUCAAAUUAAACUUCAUGGGGUUAACCUUCACAGGGUAGAACUAUGAAGGAAAAAUGCAUUAAUGAUGAUUUGUCAUUGUCAAAAGAUAUGAGGCAGAUUUGAUUGUAAACGUUGGUGUACUAAAAUGAUUUUAGAACCUAGACACCGUGUACUGAAACCUAUACUAAUCCAACCCCGCCAUUGUCACAACCCAAGUAUUAUCUCCAUACCACGAUCUUAUGAAUCCUAUUUGGGAAUGUCAACAUGUGUUAAUUAUAGUCUUCCCAUUAGGAUGUAGCUGGAUAAAUGGAACAUGCAAUUCUAACUGGCCUGUUAAACUUAAUGUGGGGCACACCACCAUUCAAGUAGAAACAGACGAGCGCUGUCCACAUCAAUAUGGCUCAGCCACGUUUAAUGAUCAUUAUUGGAUCUGUGGUAAUAAGGCAUAUCUUUAUUUACCAACAAAUUGGACAGGGUGCUGUGUUUUUGGUAAACUAAACAUCUCCAUUGUUGUAAUGCAUAAAACAAACUCCUCCAUUCCACGCAGAUUAAGACGGAUUAGGAGGAGCAUUUCACAAUUGAAUGACGUUCCAAUUGAGUCACGACGAUCCUCAGAACUUGAAGUUUUGGCAUGGGUUAAUUUCUUGAUAUGGGGCAUCGGAAAAUGCCCAUGACUUAGAACGAUUGGGAUAUCAUUUAGAAACUUUUGUAAAUUUAAACCACUUCAGGAUUUUCGAUAAUGAGACCAGAAUUACAAGCAGCUCGCCUCACGGCUAUACAGAAUAGAUUAGCACUUGAUAUGUUACUAGCACAGGAAGGGGGAGUGUGCCAAAUGAUAGGUGAAUAUUGCUGUACAUUCAUACCCCAGGAUGAGGGUAACUUCACUAUUGUUGUGGAACAUCUGGAAGAGCUCACCGGCGAUCUCACAAAAGAACACCAACCAGACAACAAUUGGAAUCCGUUUGGAUGGGUUCAAUCAUUAUUUGGUGUUAUGGAAACAACAGUUUUCCAUUGGCUCAUUUAUGGCCAAUUAAUAUUUUUUGCUGUGCUAUUUCUUAUUGUCUAUGUUAAAAAUCUUUGUUGUAAAGUGCUGGAUACUGCCCUCACUAUGCCAUUGCUUGAUGUUCAUGCUGACUCUGAGGAUGAUGAGAAUAAUGAUGAUGUAUCUAUAAAUGAUCGAAUGCCUGAUAUUCCAGACCUAUUUCCCAUUCCUGAUUACAUACAGUGGGGAGAACAAGUAUUUGAUACACUGCCAAUUUUGCAGGUUUUCCUACUUACAAAGCAUGUAGAGGUCUGUAAUUUUUAUCAUAGGU